This 394-nucleotide ribosomal RNA is filed under the name Aureococcus sp. Its description in RNAcentral is "partial small subunit ribosomal RNA". It matches the Rfam family "Eukaryotic small subunit ribosomal RNA", at positions 582 to 975 of the family's 1831-position model. Lineage: Eukaryota; Pelagophyceae; Pelagomonadales; Pelagomonadaceae. The record is from RNAcentral.
AUUCCAGCUCCAAUAGCAUAUAUUAAUGUUGUUGCAGUUAAAAAGCUCGUAGUUGGAUUCCUGGCACGGGGUAGCCGGUCCGCCUUGCAAAAGGUGCGCACUGAGCGGCCUCGGCCAUCCUUGCGAUGGUCUAUCCUGGCAUUCAGUUGUCGGGGUGGGGAUUCGCGACGUUUACUGUGAAAAAAUCAGAGUGUUCAACGCAGGCUUACGCCUUGAAUACAUUAGCAUGGAAUAAUGAGAUAGGACCUUGGCGGUCUAUUUUGUUGGUUUGCACGCCGAGGUAAUGAUUAAAAGGGACGGUUGGGGUUCUUCGUAUUCAAUUGUCAGAGGUGAAAUUCUUGGAUUUAUGGAAGACGAACUGCUGCGAAAGCGUCGAACAAGGACGUUCUCAUUG